Limulus polyphemus (Atlantic horseshoe crab) is the source of this 591-nucleotide long non-coding RNA. RefSeq lists it as uncharacterized. The transcript is spliced from 3 exons. The record is from RefSeq and is a predicted model, not a curated record. NCBI's taxonomy places the organism in Eukaryota, Metazoa, Arthropoda, Merostomata, Xiphosura, Limulidae.
AGGGGCAAAAUGACCACUGUACAGCAAAUAUAAGUCCUUGCCCUAGGCGAGUGUUUUAUGUUCCAGAAGGUAUAGAAAAGGAAAGCUAAUUGAUUGAGGAGGUAAACUUGAUAUAAAUGGAUUCAGCGCAUCUGCUAAUCAGGAAGACCCUAACGUCAACUGAACGUUCAGAAGUAAAGUGAGCAAGAAGGGAAAAGGCUUUUUCAAUUUUUUACGAAUGGAUUUUCAUCGGAACAUGUUCACCAGAACCCUAAGUAAAUUUCGUGCAAACUAUACAAGAACUGUCUGCCUGAAGACUUCCUUAAUUUUGAACUGAUAAAUUAGUGAGAAGAAAGCUAGACAACAGCACCCAGAGCCAAAUAUGGAUUACUCUUGUGGGAUUGGCCUAUUACAUUUUUUAGUGCAUCCAUGACCUCAAGUGCGGAAGUAUUUUUGUAGUGUCGGUCGGCGAACUGUGAAUGUUGAGAUUUACGUUAACCACGAGGCUACGCCUCACUCUUCUCAAAUAGGAAUAAAACAGAAAAUUAAUUUUGUCAAAUUGUACUUUAAGAUAUGUAUUAACUAGUAUGAAAGAUAUUUUUAUAUCAAUAA